CAGCCGUAAACUAUGCUCGCUAGGUGUCAGGCAUGGCGCGACCGUGUCUGGUGCCGCAGGGAAGCCGUGAAGCGAGCCACCUGGGAAGUACGGCCGCAAGGCUGAAACUUAAAGGAAUUGGCGGGGGAGCACAACAACGGGUGGAGCCUGCGGUUUAAUUGGACUCAACGCCGGACAACUCACCGGGGACGACAGCAAUAUGUAGGCCAGGCUGAAGACCUUGCCUGAAUCGCUGAGAGGAGGUGCAUGGCGUAGACGUCU
This 261-nucleotide ribosomal RNA is filed under the name uncultured archaeon. Its description in RNAcentral is "partial 16S ribosomal RNA". It matches the Rfam family "Archaeal small subunit ribosomal RNA", at positions 748 to 1009 of the family's 1478-position model. The record is from RNAcentral.